Salvelinus sp. IW2-2015 is the source of this 498-nucleotide non-coding RNA. Lineage: Eukaryota; Metazoa; Chordata; Actinopteri; Salmoniformes; Salmonidae. The record is from RefSeq and is a predicted model, not a curated record.
CCAUGAAAAUCCCAGAAAAUGCAUGCUGGAAAACGUCACAGGGUAUAAAUAACAAGCCCCUCCCCUUAUAGUUCAUUCCUGGAUUUGUUCUGAGGUAUUUUGUCUCUGAAGAGUGGCCGUCGAGGAAUUUGAACACCUAAUAAAACGUUUUCUUCAAUUAAUUGACAUUUCAUUACUAGUUUUGCCUCCAGUUUGUUCGUCGGAAUAGCUAUAUUUUAGCUGCCACAACCCCGCCCAAACAUUGUCAGUAGAAUGGCCUGUACUGAAGAGCUCAGUGACUUUCAACGUGGCACCGUCAUAGGAUGCCACCUUUCCAACAAGUCAGUAAGUCAAAUUUCUGCUCAGCUAGAACUGCCCAGGUCAACUGUGAGUGCUGUUAUUGUGGAGUGGAAACGUCUAGGAGCAACAACGGCUGAGCCUCGAAGUGGUAAGCCACACAAGCUCACAGAACGGGACCGGCGAGUGUUGUAGCGUGAAGAAAUUGUCUGUUCUCUGUUG